This 88-nucleotide transfer RNA is filed under the name Gammaproteobacteria bacterium. RNAcentral describes it as "tRNA-Ser". It matches the Rfam family "tRNA". From Rfam's summary of the family: Transfer RNA (tRNA) molecules are approximately 80 nucleotides in length. Lineage: Bacteria; Pseudomonadati; Pseudomonadota; Gammaproteobacteria. RNAcentral also lists the same sequence under 2 other names. The record is from RNAcentral.
GGAGAGGUGGCCGAGUGGCUGAAGGCGCUCCCCUGCUAAGGGAGUAUGGGGCAACUCAUCGAGGGUUCGAAUCCCUCCCUCUCCGCCA